UACAGAGGGUGCAAGCGUUAAUCGGAAUUACUGGGCGUAAAGGGCGCGUAGGUUGCUUUGUAAGUUAGAUGUGAAAUUUCCGGGCUUAACCUGGAGUGGUCAUCUAAAACUGCAAAGCUAGAGUAUAGUAGAGGGAAGGGGAAUUUCCGGUGUAGCGGUGAAAUGCGUAGAUAUCGGAAGGAACAUCAGUGGCGAAGGCGCCUUCCUGGACUAAUACUGACACUGAGGCGCGAAAGCGUGGGUAGCGAACAGG
Molecule: unclassified non-coding RNA, 253 nt
Filed under: uncultured Gammaproteobacteria bacterium
Lineage: Bacteria; Pseudomonadati; Pseudomonadota; Gammaproteobacteria
Description: contains 16S-23S intergenic spacer region
Rfam family: Bacterial small subunit ribosomal RNA
Source: RNAcentral